Molecule: ribosomal RNA, 333 nt
Filed under: uncultured bacterium
Lineage: Bacteria
Description: bacterial SSU rRNA
Rfam family: Bacterial small subunit ribosomal RNA
Source: RNAcentral
GCGCGCAGGCGGCCUCCCGCGUGAGUGGUAAAAGCUCCCGGCUUAACUGGGAGAGGUCCAUUCAGACGGGGAGGCUUGAGCGUCGGAGAGGGGCAUGGAAUUCCGGGUGGAGCGGUGAAAUGCGUAGAGAUCCGGAGGAACACCAAUGGCGAAGGCAGUGCCCUGGCCGACGGCUGACGCUCAGGCGCGAAAGCGUGGGGAGCAAACAGGAUUAGAUACCCUGGUAGUCCACGCCGUAAACGAUGUCCACUAAGUGUGCAAGGUAUCGACCCCUUGUGUGCCGUAGCUAACGCAAUAAGUGGACCGCCUGGGGAGUACGGUCGCAAGAUUAAA